UUAAAUUGAAGAGUUUGAUCAUGGCUCAGAUUGAACGCUGGCGGCAGGCCUAACACAUGCAAGUCGAACGGUAACAGGAAGCAGCUUGCUGCUUUGCUGACGAGUGGCGGACGGGUGAGUAAUGUCUGGGAAACUGCCUGAUGGAGGGGGAUAACUACUGGAAACGGUGGCUAAUACCGCAUAACGUCGCAAGACCAAAGAGGGGGACCUUCGGGCCUCUUGCCAUCAGAUGUGCCCAGAUGGGAUUAGCUUGUUGGUGAGGUAACGGCUCA
RNAcentral lists this ribosomal RNA (272 nucleotides) under Salmonella enterica subsp. enterica serovar Infantis. RNAcentral's name for it is "partial 16S ribosomal RNA". It matches the Rfam family "Bacterial small subunit ribosomal RNA", at positions 1 to 267 of the family's 1533-position model. RNAcentral also lists the same sequence under 7 other names. Lineage: Bacteria; Pseudomonadati; Pseudomonadota; Gammaproteobacteria; Enterobacterales; Enterobacteriaceae. The record is from RNAcentral.